GAUGAACGCUGACAGAAUGCUUAACACAUGCAAGUCAACUUGAACUUCGGUUUGGGUGGCGGACGGGUGAGUAACGCGUAAAGAACUUGCCUCACAGAUAGGGACAACAUUUGGAAACGAAUGCUAAUACCUGAUAUUAUGAUUUUAGGGCAUCCUAGGAUUAUGAAAGCUAUAUGCGCUGUGAGAGAGCUUUGCGUCCCAUUAGCUAGUUGGAGAGGUAACGGCUCACCAAGGCGAUGAUGGGUAGCCGGCCUGAGAGGGUGAUCGGCCACAAGGGGACUGAGACACGGCCCUUACUCCUACGGGAGGCAGCAGUGGGGAAUAUUGGACAAUGGACCAAGAGUCUGAUCCAGCAAUUCUGUGUGCACGAUGAAGUUUUUCGGAAUGUAAAGUGCUUUCAGUUGGGAAGAAAAAAAUGACGGUACCAACAGAAGAAGUGACGGCUGAAUACGUGCCAGCAGCCGCGGUAAUACGUAUGUCACAAGCGUUAUCCGGAUUUAUUGGGCGUAAAGCGCGUCUAGGUGGUUAUGUAAGUCUGAUGUGAAAAUGCAGGGCUCAACUCUGUAUUGCGUUGGAAACUGUGUAACUAGAGUACUGGAGAGGUAAGCGGAACUACAAGUGUAGAGGUGAAAUUCGUAGAUAUUUGUAGGAAUGCCGAUGGGGAAGCCAGCUUACUGGACAGAUACUGACGCUGAAGCGCGAAAGCGUGGGUAGCAAACAGG
This 722-nucleotide ribosomal RNA is filed under the name uncultured Fusobacterium sp. RNAcentral describes it as "bacterial SSU rRNA". It matches the Rfam family "Bacterial small subunit ribosomal RNA", at positions 28 to 776 of the family's 1533-position model. Lineage: Bacteria; Fusobacteriati; Fusobacteriota; Fusobacteriia; Fusobacteriales; Fusobacteriaceae. The record is from RNAcentral.